CUGGCGGCAUGGCUAAGACAUGCAAGUCGAGCGCGAAAGUCCCUUCGGGGAGCGAGUAGAGCGGCGAACGGGCGAGUAAUGCAUGGGUAACGUGCCCCUCGCACAGGGAUAGCCCACCGAAAGGCGGGAUAAUACCUGAUGAUACCUCGGACGCAAAAGCGACCGGGGUCAAAGGGUGGGGACCCUUCGGGGCCUGCCGGCGAGAGAGCGGCCCAUGUCCUAUCAGCUUGUUGGUGAGGUAACGGCUCACCAAGGCGACGACGGGUAGCGGGACUGAGAGGUUGGCCCGCCGCAUUGGGACUGAGACACUGCCCAGACUCCUACGGGAGGCUGCAGUAACGAAUAUUGGGCAAUGGGCGAAAGCCUGACCCAGCAAUGCCGCGUGCGGGAUGAAGCCCCUCGGGGUGUAAACCGCUGUCAGGGAUCACCAACCAAGGGAGGUUAACAGCCUCCUGCGUUGAGGCAUCCCACAGGAAGCCACGGCUAACUUCGUGCCAGCAGCCGCGGUAAUACGAAGGUGGCUAGCGUUGUUCGGAAUCACUGGGCUUAAAGAGCACGUAGGCGGGCUUGCAAGCGUCUUGUGAAAUCCCUCGGCUCAACCGAGGAAUAGCUUGGCGAACUGUGAGCCUUGAGGCAAGUAGGGGUGCGUGGAACUCUUGGUGGAGCGGUGAAAUGCGUAGAUAUCAAGAGGAACGCCGGAGGCGAAAGCGGCGCACUGGGCUUGUCCCUGACGCUGAGGUGCGAAAGCCAGGGGAGCGAACGGGAUUUAGAUACCCCCGGUAGUCCUGGCCGUAAACGAUGCCUACUAGAUUCGGAGGCCUUUUGACGGGGUUCCGGUCGCAACCAAAGCGUUAAGUAGGCCGCCUGGGGAGUACGGUCGCAAGGCUAAAACUCAAAGGAAUUGACGGGGCCUCACACAAGCGGUGGAGCAUGUUGCUUAAUUCGAUGCAACGCGAAGAACCUUAUCCUGGGCUUGACAUGCACGGAUGCCUCCCCUGAAAGGGGGUUUGGUUGCCCUUCGGGGUGAAACGUGCACAGGUGCUGCAUGGCUGUCGUCAGCUCGUGUCGUGAGAUGUUGGGUUAAGUCCCGUAACGAGCGAAACCCUUAUCGCUAGUUGCCAGCGGGUGAUGCCGGGGACUCUAGCGAGACUGCCGGUCUGAAACCGGAGGAAGGUGGGGAUGACGUCAAGUCCUCAUGGCCUUUAUGCCCAGGGCUGCAAACGUGCUACAAUGGCCGGUACAAACCGACGCAAGACCGCGAGGUGGAGCAAAUCGGAAAAAGCCGGCCUCAGUUCGGAUUGGAGUCUGCAACUCGACUCCAUGAAGUCGGAAUCGCUAGUAAUCGCGCAUCAGCCAUGGCGCGGUGAAUGUGUUCCUGAGGCUUGUACACACCGCCCGUCAAGUCAUGGAAGCCGGGAGC
Molecule: ribosomal RNA, 1420 nt
Filed under: uncultured organism
Description: bacterial SSU rRNA
Rfam family: Bacterial small subunit ribosomal RNA
Source: RNAcentral